Molecule: small RNA, 131 nt
Filed under: Serratia sp. root2
Lineage: Bacteria; Pseudomonadati; Pseudomonadota; Gammaproteobacteria; Enterobacterales; Yersiniaceae
Description: RtT sRNA
Rfam family: RtT RNA
About the family: This family represents a bacterial cis-regulatory element known as RtT RNA. The exact function of RtT is unknown although it is thought that it may be involved in changing the cellular response in relation to amino acid starvation.
Source: RNAcentral
AUAGCGCACGAAUCGUGUGGGUGAGUAACCUGCGUUCAGGUUCGACAAAAUUGCUCCGUCAAUUUUGGGCAGCGCUUGCGCUGGCCCGAAGGGCGAGGCCAAAGGCCGAAUCAAUCCCGCACGACCCACCA